AUUGAACGCUGGCGGCAGGCCUAACACAUGCAAGUCGAACGAGUGGAGGAGGGGUGAGUAAUGUCUGGGAAACUGCCUGAUGGAGGGGGAUAACUACUGGAAAAGGUAGCUAAUACCGCAUACCAUCGGAUGUGCACAGAUGGGAUGAGAUAGUAGGUGGGGUAAAGGCACACCUAGGAGACGCUCCCUAGAUGGUCUGAGAGGAUGACCAGCCACAAUGGAACUGAGACACGGUCCAUACUCCUACGGGAGGCAGCAGUGCGGAAUAUUGCACAAUGGGCGCAAGCCUGAUGCAGCCAUGCCGCGUGUAUGAAGAAGGCCUUCGGGUUGUAAAGUACUUUCAGCGUGGAGGCGUUACCCGCAGAAGAAGCACCGGCUAACUCCGUGCCAGCAGCCGCGGUAAUUC
This 406-nucleotide ribosomal RNA is filed under the name uncultured bacterium. Its description in RNAcentral is "partial 16S ribosomal RNA". It matches the Rfam family "Bacterial small subunit ribosomal RNA", at positions 30 to 526 of the family's 1533-position model. The record is from RNAcentral.